AACGAACGCUGGCGGCAGGCUUAACACAUGCAAGUCGAACGCAUCGCAAGAUGAGUGGCAGACGGGUGAGUAACGCGUGGGAACAUACCCUUUUCUACGGAAUAGCUCUGGGAAACUGGAAUUAAUACCGUAUACGCCCUACGGGGGAAAGAUUUAUCGGGGAAGGAUUGGCCCGCGUUGGAUUAGCUAGUUGGUGGGGUAAAGGCCUACCAAGGCGACGAUCCAUAGCUGGUCUGAGAGGAUGAUCAGCCACAUUGGGACUGAGACACGGCCCAAACUCCUACGGGAGGCAGCAGUGGGGAAUAUUGGACAAUGGGCGCAAGCCUGAUCCAGCCAUGCCGCGUGAGUGGUGAAGGCCUUAGGGUUGUAAAGCUCUUUCACCGAUGAAGAUAAUGACGGUAGUCGGAGAAGAAGCCCCGGCUAACUUCGUGCCAGCAGCCGCCGUAA
This 447-nucleotide ribosomal RNA is filed under the name uncultured bacterium. Its description in RNAcentral is "partial 16S ribosomal RNA". It matches the Rfam family "Bacterial small subunit ribosomal RNA", at positions 29 to 523 of the family's 1533-position model. The record is from RNAcentral.